ACAGACAGCCAGGAUGUUGGCUUAGAAGCAGCCAUCAUUUAAAGAAAGCGUAAUAGCUCACUGGUCGAGUCGGCCUGCGCGGAAGAUGUAACGGGGCUAAACCAUGCACCGAAGCUGCGGCAGCGACACUAUGUGUUGUUGGGUAGGGGAGCGUUCUGUAAGCCGUUGAAGGUGGCCUGUGAGGGUUGCUGGAGGUAUCAGAAGUGCGAAUGCUGACAUAAGUAACGAUAAAGCGGGUGAAAAGCCCGCUCGCCGGAAGACCAAGGGUUCCUGUCCAACGUUAAUCGGGGCAGGGUGAGUCGACCCCUAAGGCGAGGCCGAAAGGCGUAGUCGAUGGGAAACAGGUUAAUAUUCCUGUACUUGGUGUUACUGCGAAGGGGGGACGGAGAAGGCUAUGUCAGCCGGGCGACGGUUGUCCCGGUUUAAGCAUGUAGGCGGAGGUUCCAGGUAAAUCCGGUACCUUGUUAACGCUGAGGUGUGAUGACGAGGCACUACGGUGCUGAAGUGAUAAAUGCCCUGCUUCCAGGAAAAGCCUCUAAGCAUCAGGUAACACGAAAUCGUACCCCAAACCGACACAGGUGGUCAGGUAGA
Molecule: ribosomal RNA, 591 nt
Filed under: Enterobacter hormaechei
Lineage: Bacteria; Pseudomonadati; Pseudomonadota; Gammaproteobacteria; Enterobacterales; Enterobacteriaceae
Description: partial 23S ribosomal RNA
Rfam family: Bacterial large subunit ribosomal RNA
Source: RNAcentral